CCUAACGUCUUGAGAAUUUACAUCUACCUGUUUUUUCUGUUAUAGGAAUGUAUGUCACUGUCUACUGCCACAUUUCCAUUGGGAAGAUGCAGAAAUCUGAAGGGGCUGUGGUGGAAGAGGAAGAGAAACAAAGCAGAUGACAGCUGUCUGUGGGUAACAGCAAAAGCGCUUCAGACUGACCCUCAGAAGGACAAUGUACUGACCAGAAGUAAAGCCACAAUACUGUUUUUCUAUUCCACAGGAGACCACAACACAGGUCGAAGUCAAUAAUCCAGAGCUAAGAAACGGAGGAAGAGAUUCAGUUGCAAUGCAAAGCAUUAUAGCAGGAUCUUAGAUGCAACUAUAGAGAAACACUCAUUUAUCCAAUGAAUACUUUCCAGCAC
RNAcentral lists this long non-coding RNA (383 nucleotides) under Fukomys damarensis (Damara mole-rat). Its description in RNAcentral is "lncRNA (ENSFDAG00000026560.1)". Lineage: Eukaryota; Metazoa; Chordata; Mammalia; Rodentia; Bathyergidae. The record is from RNAcentral.